This 425-nucleotide ribosomal RNA is filed under the name uncultured prokaryote. RNAcentral's name for it is "bacterial SSU rRNA". It matches the Rfam family "Bacterial small subunit ribosomal RNA", at positions 355 to 774 of the family's 1533-position model. The record is from RNAcentral.
UGGGGAAUCAUGGUCAAUGGGCGAAAGCCUGAACCUGCGACGCCGCGUGAGUGAUGAAGGUCGUAAGAUCGUAAAACUCUUUUCAGGGAUCUUAAAGCCUGUCUGUCAACAACAGGCAGGUCUGACUCUCCCUGGAAGAAGCCCCAGCCAACUACGUGCCAGCAGCAGCGGUACUACGUAGGGGGCGAGCGUUAUUCGGAAUUACUGGGUGUAAAGGGUAUGUAGGCGGCCCUUCAAGUCGCGUGUAAAAGUCCAGUGCUCAACGCUGGGUGUGCACGCGAUACUGACGGGCGUGAGGGCUGGAGAGGUGAGCGGAAUUCCCGGUGUAGUGGUAAAAUACGUAGAGAUCGGGAGGAACACCAGCGGCGCAGGCGGCUCACUAGACAGUUUCUGACGCUAAGAUACGAAAGCGUGGGGAGCAAACA